CGUGUGUUGAAAACCAAAAGACCCAAACCAGUUUCCCCAAAAUCAUUUUCCCGAAAAAAACCUCCCUCUCAAUCUCUCGAUCUCCUCCCUCAACGCCCCCGUCGAUGGGCUCCUCUCCGGCCAUUCAUCUCCGCGCCACCGUCGACCAGCUCCAUCUUCGAUCGUUCCAUGUCCACGUCCACCUCCAUCUCACUCUAUAAGUCACGAAUCUUCACCUUUCUCUCUUGGUAUCGCAUCACAGGAAGAAGAAAAAAAAAAGAAACUAAAAAAAAACCCUAGAAAUUUACAGUUAUCGUUUCUUUCUUGAUUUAAUGUUUAUUUCCUUUUAUUUUUUUCCCCCUUGUGUUAUCUGCUUAAUUAUUUUAUUUUAUUGCUUAAAUGUUGGUUUGUUAACUAUUUUUGUAUUUUUGCUCCUCUGUCAACAUUUGUUCUUGCUAAUAGAUAUUGUGGAUGAGAGAGACCUUGCCUGAUGAUGGAAUUGUUCUUGCUCCCCUUCCCAAUUGGACAUGCCCAUAAACAUUCAUGAAGAAAUAUGUCUCCCUUAUUUCUUUGUAGCCCACUUGUUUAAUUUGACUUUCGCUUAUUGUUGUAGAACUUCCAUUGCCACCGGUUUUUGGGACUGAUGAGACUGAGGAGUCAAAUCAGGAGCCUCAACAGAUUGGCAGAGAUGCUUGGCAUGAUCUUGCAUCAGGCACUCAAUAGUCAAUAGAGCUCUUGGGCUUCAGGAGCGCUUUGUAUUCACCUGAAACUAAGUGAUGUUUUCUGUUCAAGUUCUUGGAUCCUUCUUAUUGGGAUUAUUACCUAUUGGAUUUGAAGUGAAUCUUCGGGUAUUGACAAUAGCCUGUAUUUUGUAUGGAUUGAUUGGUAGAUUCUGUGUUGUGUAUGUGAGGGAUCAGAGGCCGAGAGUGUAGGAGGCAGGGAUAGAUUAUGAGUCUGUCUAUCAGAAGAACAGAUGAUUGUAGCUUCUUUUUUUUUUUUUUUUUUUUGAUUUAUGAACAGAAAAUCAGUCCUCUGAGAA
Long non-coding RNA from Alnus glutinosa, 1018 nucleotides. RefSeq lists it as uncharacterized. Lineage: Eukaryota; Viridiplantae; Streptophyta; Magnoliopsida; Fagales; Betulaceae. The transcript is spliced from 2 exons. The record is from RefSeq and is a predicted model, not a curated record.